CGUAGGGUGCAAGCGUUAAUCGGAAUUACUGGGCGUAAAGCGUGCGCAGGCGGUUUUGUAAGACAGGCGUGAAAUCCCCGGGCUCAACCUGGGAAUUGCGCUUGUGACUGCAAAGCUGGAGUGCGGCAGAGGGGGAUGGAAUUCCGCGUGUAGCAGUGAAAUGCGUAGAUAUGCGGAGGAACACCGAUGGCGAAGGCAAUCCCCUGGGCCUACACUGACGCUCAUGCACGAAAGCGUGGGGAGCAAACAGGAUUAGAUACCCUGGUAGUCCACGCCCUAAACGAUGUCAACUGGUUGUUGGGUCUCUUCUGACUCAGUAACGAAGCUAACGCGUGAAGUUGACCGCCUGGGGAGUACGGCCGCAAGGUUG
Molecule: ribosomal RNA, 370 nt
Filed under: uncultured organism
Description: bacterial SSU rRNA
Rfam family: Bacterial small subunit ribosomal RNA
Source: RNAcentral